CCUACGGGAGGCAGCAGUGAGGAAUAUUGGUCAAUGGACGAGAGUCUGAACCAGCCAAGUAGCGUGAAGGAUGACUGCCCUAUGGGUUGUAAACUUCUUUUAUAUGGGGAUAAAACGUUCCACGUGUGGGAUUUUGUAUGUACCAUAUGAAUAAGGAUCGGCUAACUCCGUGCCAGCAGCCGCGGUAAUACGGAGGAUCCGAGCGUUAUCCGGAUUUAUUGGGUUUAAAGGGAGCGUAGGUGGAUUGUUAAGUCAGUUGUGAAAGUUUGCGGCUCAACCGUAAAAGUGCAGUUGAAACUGGCAGUCUUGAGUACAGUAGAGGUGGGCGGAAUUCGUGGUGUAGCGGUGAAAUGCUUAGAUAUCACGAAGAACUCCGAUUGCGAAGGCAGUUCACUGGACUGCAACUGACACUGAGGCUCGAAAGUGUGGGUAUCAAACAGGAUUAGAUACCCCGGUAGUC
Molecule: ribosomal RNA, 460 nt
Filed under: uncultured bacterium
Lineage: Bacteria
Description: partial 16S ribosomal RNA
Rfam family: Bacterial small subunit ribosomal RNA
Source: RNAcentral